RNAcentral lists this ribosomal RNA (253 nucleotides) under uncultured bacterium. RNAcentral's name for it is "partial 16S ribosomal RNA". It matches the Rfam family "Bacterial small subunit ribosomal RNA", at positions 524 to 776 of the family's 1533-position model. The record is from RNAcentral.
UACGGGGGGGGCAAGCGUUGUUCGGAAUUACUGGGCGUAAAGGGCUCGUAGGCGGCCAACUAAGUCAGACGUGAAAUCCCUCGGCUUAACCGGGGAACUGCGUCUGAUACUGGAUGGCCUGAGAUUGGGAGAGGGAUGCGGAAUUCCAGGUGUAGCGGUGAAAUGCGUAGAUAUCUGGAGGAACACCGGUGGCGAAGGCGGCAUCCUGGACCAACACUGACGCUGAGGAGCGAAAGCCAGGGGAGCAAACGGG